This 348-nucleotide unclassified non-coding RNA is filed under the name soil metagenome. Its description in RNAcentral is "partial contains 5.8S ribosomal RNA, internal transcribed spacer 2, and large subunit ribosomal RNA". The stretch from base 1 to 120 matches the Rfam family "5.8S ribosomal RNA", at positions 35 to 154 of the family's 154-position model. The record is from RNAcentral.
GAUGAAGAACGUAGCGAAAUGCGAAAAGUAAUGUGAAUUGCAGAAUUCAGUGAACCAUCGAAUCUUUGAACGCGCAUUGCGUCCGCUGGAACUCCGGCGGGCACGCCUGUCCGAGCGUCAUUUCAACCCUCAGGCCCCCCUUCGCGGGCGGGCCUGGUGUUGGGGCCCGGCCGCUACCCUGCGGCCGUCCCCUAAAUCCAGUGGCGGCCUCGCCGUGAUCCCUUGCGUAGUAAUGCACCUCGAACCGGAGAGCGCCGGGGCCACGCCGUAAAACCCCCAAUUUUCAAUGGUUGACCUCGGAUCAGGUGGGAAUACCCGCUGAACUUAAGCAUAUCAAUAAGCGGAGGA